CCGCGUGCGGGAUGACGGCCUUCGGGUUGUAAACCGCUUUUAGUAGGGAAGAAGGGCUUCGGCUUGACGGUACCUGCAGAAAAAGGACCGGCUAACUACGUGCCAGCAGCCGCGGUAAUACGUAGGGUCCGAGCGUUGUCCGGAAUUAUUGGGCGUAAAGAGCUCGUAGGCGGUUUGUCGCGUCUGCUGUGAAAUCUGGAGGCUCAACCUCCAGCCUGCAGUGGGUACGGGCAGACUAGAGUGCGGUAGGGGAGAAUGGAAUUCCUGGUGUAGCGGUGGAAUGCGCAGAUAUCAAGAGGAACACCGAUGGCGAAGGCAGUUCUCUGGGCCGUAACUGACGCUGAGGAGCGAAAGCGUGGGGAGCGAACAGGAUUAGAUACCCUGGUAGUCCACGCCGUAGACGUUGGGCGCUAGAUGUGGGGACCUUUCCACGGUUUCCGUGUCGUAGCUAACGCAUUAAGCGCCCCGCCUGGGGAGUACGGCCGCAAGGCUAAAACUCACAGGAAUUGACGGGGGCCCGCACAAGCGGCGGAGCAUGCGGAUUAAUUCGAUGCAACGCGAAGAACCUUACCAAGGCUUGACAUAACCGAGAACGCCCUAGAAAUAGGGAACUCUUUGGA
RNAcentral lists this ribosomal RNA (620 nucleotides) under Agromyces sp. So3Pt_176. RNAcentral describes it as "bacterial SSU rRNA". It matches the Rfam family "Bacterial small subunit ribosomal RNA", at positions 397 to 1022 of the family's 1533-position model. The record is from RNAcentral. Lineage: Bacteria; Bacillati; Actinomycetota; Actinomycetes; Micrococcales; Microbacteriaceae.